GUGAGGAAUAUUGGUCAAUGGGCGCGAGCCUGAACCAGCCAAGUAGCGUGCAGGACGACGGCCCUAUGGGUUGUAAACUGCUUUUAUACGGGGAUAAAGUAUGCCACGUGUGGUUUAUUGCAGGUACCGUAUGAAUAAGGACCGGCUAAUUCCGUGCCAGCAGCCGCGGUAAUACGGAAGGUCCGGGCGUUAUCCGGAUUUAUUGGGUUUAAAGGGAGCGUAGGCCGGGUUUUAAGCGUGCCGUGAAAUGUCGGGGCUCAACCUUGACACUGCGGCGCGAACUGGAGUCCUUGAGUGCGCGGAACGUAUGCGGAAUUCGUGGUGUAGCGGUGAAAUGCUUAGAUAUCACGAAGAACCCCGAUUGCGAAGGCAGCAUACGGCAGCGCUACUGACGCUGAAGCUCGAAGGCGCGGGUAUCGAACAGGAUUAGAAACCCUAGUAGUCC
RNAcentral lists this ribosomal RNA (445 nucleotides) under uncultured Prevotellaceae bacterium. RNAcentral describes it as "bacterial SSU rRNA". It matches the Rfam family "Bacterial small subunit ribosomal RNA", at positions 354 to 796 of the family's 1533-position model. Lineage: Bacteria; Pseudomonadati; Bacteroidota; Bacteroidia; Bacteroidales; Prevotellaceae. The record is from RNAcentral.